RNAcentral lists this ribosomal RNA (468 nucleotides) under uncultured bacterium. RNAcentral describes it as "partial 16S ribosomal RNA". It matches the Rfam family "Bacterial small subunit ribosomal RNA", at positions 28 to 507 of the family's 1533-position model. The record is from RNAcentral.
GACGAACGCUGGCGGCGUGCUUAACACAUGCAAGUCGAACGGAAAGGCCCUGCUUUUGUGGGGUGCUCGAGUGGCGAACGGGUGAGUAACACGUGAGUAACCUGCCCUUGACUUUGGGAUAACUUCAGGAAACUUGGGCUAAUACCGGCUAGGAGCUCCUGCUGCAUGGUGGGGGUUGGAAAGUUUCGGCGGUUGGGGAUGGACUCGCGGCUUAUCAGCUUGUUGGUGGGGUAGUGGCUUACCAAGGCUUUGACGGGUAGCCGGCCUGAGAGGGUGACCGGCCACAUUGGGACUGAGAUACGGCCCAGACUCCUACGGGAGGCAGCAGUGGGGAAGAUUGCACAAUGGGCGGAAGCCUGAUGCAGCAACGCAGCGUGCGGGAUGACGGCAUGCGGGUUGUAAACCGCUUUCGCCUGUGACGAAGCGUGAGUGACGGUAACGGGUAAAGAAGCACCGGCUAACUACGUG